RNAcentral lists this ribosomal RNA (253 nucleotides) under uncultured Parabacteroides sp. RNAcentral describes it as "partial 16S ribosomal RNA". It matches the Rfam family "Bacterial small subunit ribosomal RNA", at positions 524 to 776 of the family's 1533-position model. The record is from RNAcentral. Lineage: Bacteria; Pseudomonadati; Bacteroidota; Bacteroidia; Bacteroidales; Tannerellaceae.
UACGUAGGUGGCAAGCGUUAUCCGGAUUUAUUGGGCGUAAAGGGAGCGUAGGCGGGUUGUUAAGUCAGCGGUGAAAGUUUGUGGCUCAACCAUAAAAUUGCCGUUGAAACUGGAAGACUUGAGUGUGUUUGAGGUAGGCGGAAUGCGUGGUGUAGCGGUGAAAUGCAUAGAUAUCACGCAGAACUCCGAUUGCGAAGGCAGCUUACUAAGCCAUAACUGACACUGAAGCACGAAAGCGUGGGGAUCAAACAGG